Long non-coding RNA from Gossypium arboreum, 344 nucleotides. RefSeq lists it as uncharacterized. Lineage: Eukaryota; Viridiplantae; Streptophyta; Magnoliopsida; Malvales; Malvaceae. The record is from RefSeq and is a predicted model, not a curated record. The transcript has 2 exons.
CUCCAACCUCUCAUCCUCCGGCCAAGACUCCGGCAAAGGACCACCACACGCCAAACUUUCAAAAAAGUGCGUGGGCGAGCACGCCACUGACGUGGCGUGGUGGAGCGGCGCACGUUGCGGGGUGGUGGCGUCUGGCGCGCAAGGGAGGCGUGGGCACGAGCGGCAAUUUGCCUAGGGUUUUCUCCUUUUUGUUGAAAAAUUUUAAGUUCUUGGGCUGAAAAUUUGGGCUAGGGUUUAGUAUUUUUGGGAUUGGGCUUGAACUGGUUGUAAAAUGGACAUUUAAUAUUUUUGUUUUAUUUCUCGUUUGGUUCUAGUACAGGCUCGGGCAAAAUGGGCCUUCUACA